ACUGCUCAGUAACACGUAGUCAACAUGCCCAGGGGACGUGGAUAACCUCGGGAAACUGAGGAUAAACCGCGAUAGGCCAUAAUUCCUGGAAUGGUUUAUGACUGAAACCUAUAUGGCCCCUGGAUUGGACUGCGGCCGAUCAGGCUGUUGGUGAGGUAAUGGCCCACCAAACCUGUAACCGGUACGGGCUCUGAGAGGAGAAGCCCGGAGAUGGGCACUGAGACAAGGGCCCAGGCCCUAUGGGGCGCAGCAGGCGCGAAACCUCUGCAAUAGGCGAAAGCCUGACAGGGUUACUCUGAGUGGUUCCCG
RNAcentral lists this ribosomal RNA (309 nucleotides) under uncultured archaeon. RNAcentral describes it as "bacterial SSU rRNA". It matches the Rfam family "Archaeal small subunit ribosomal RNA", at positions 85 to 394 of the family's 1478-position model. The record is from RNAcentral.